This 116-nucleotide ribosomal RNA is filed under the name Phomopsis sp. RNAcentral describes it as "partial 18S ribosomal RNA". It matches the Rfam family "Eukaryotic small subunit ribosomal RNA", at positions 1712 to 1830 of the family's 1831-position model. The record is from RNAcentral. Lineage: Eukaryota; Fungi; Ascomycota; Sordariomycetes; Diaporthales; Diaporthaceae.
GGACUGGCCCAGGGAGGUCGGCAACGCACCCAGGCGGAAAGUUAUCCAAACUCGAUCAUUUAGAGGAAGUAAAAGUCGUAACAAGGUCUCCGUUGGUGAACCAGCGAGGGAUCAUU